RNAcentral lists this signal recognition particle RNA (97 nucleotides) under Salmonella enterica. RNAcentral's name for it is "signal recognition particle sRNA small type". It matches the Rfam family "Bacterial small signal recognition particle RNA". Rfam says of the family: The signal recognition particle (SRP) is a universally conserved ribonucleoprotein involved in the co-translational targeting of proteins to membranes. Lineage: Bacteria; Pseudomonadati; Pseudomonadota; Gammaproteobacteria; Enterobacterales; Enterobacteriaceae. The record is from RNAcentral.
UGUUGGUUCUCCCGCAACGAUACUCUGUUUACCAGGUCAGGUCCGGAAGGAAGCAGCCAAGGCAGAUGACGCGUGUGCCGGGAUGUAGCUGGCAGGG